GGAUUGUGGCUCAGCGGUAGAGCGCUCACCUAGCAUGCACAGGUCCUGGGUUCAAUCCUCAGCACCA
RNAcentral lists this transfer RNA (67 nucleotides) under Marmota monax (woodchuck). Its description in RNAcentral is "tRNA.Ala". Lineage: Eukaryota; Metazoa; Chordata; Mammalia; Rodentia; Sciuridae. The record is from RNAcentral.